UGGGCAACUAGACCCAAUUUGGAUAGAAUUGGAAUCUCUUGGUAUUGGGUUCCAGAUAGGAACAAGUAUUAUUUCUGAGCUAGACCUUAGACCAGGACCCAGGAUUCCUAAGGGUGAGAUAUGCAGUGCUUUGUGACCUGACCUUAGGGAAGGUAAGAGAGCCAGAUGGAAGGGUAACACUCAUUUGGCUCCAAUUCUGCAGAUGACCUCAGCACCUCCCCUCCUGUGCCAGACUGAGGGAGGCCCUUGGGUUCUCGUGGGCAUGGCUGUUCGAGGUAGCCGGGAGCUGUUUGCAGCCAUUGGCCCUGAAGCAACCUGGAUAUCGCAAACAGUGGGAGAAGCCCAUUUUCUUCAUCUCGGUGGCUCCUCCUACUGGUCUCCUGAAGGCAGUGACCCGUGUCCCCAAGACUUGGCAGGAUCUGCAAGCUCCCCUAAGGUUGCUGCUCUGCCCCUCCUACUGGCUCUACUGAUCCCUCGCUGAGAGCCUGGCUUCUCUUCAUACCACCCAUCAGGGUUGGAAUGUGGCCCAACCAGCCAGCUCCCAGGCCUGGAUAGGGCCUCUUCCACCCAUACUGCAUUAGCUUACAGAUAAUUGGACCUCAGUGCUGGCUACUUUGAAUCUAAGAAUCCUUGGGGGUGGAGGAGGAACAGACAAUAAAGAUGUAAAUACAG
Molecule: long non-coding RNA, 672 nt
Filed under: Rattus norvegicus (Norway rat)
Lineage: Eukaryota; Metazoa; Chordata; Mammalia; Rodentia; Muridae
Description: long non-coding RNA NONRATT003231
Source: RNAcentral